RNAcentral lists this ribosomal RNA (478 nucleotides) under uncultured bacterium. RNAcentral describes it as "partial 16S ribosomal RNA". It matches the Rfam family "Bacterial small subunit ribosomal RNA", at positions 28 to 507 of the family's 1533-position model. The record is from RNAcentral.
GAUGAACGCUGGCGGCGUGCUUAACACAUGCAAGUCGAACGGGAAAUAUUUCAUUGAGACUUCGGUGGAUUUGAUUUAUUUCUAGUGGCGGACGGGUGAGUAACGCGUGGGUAACCUGCCUUAUACAGGGGGAUAACAGUCAGAAAUGGCUGCUAAUACCGCAUAAGCGCACAGAGCUACAUGGCUCAGUGUGAAAAACUCCGGUGGUAUAAGAUGGACCCGCGUUGGAUUAGCUAGUUGGUGGGGUAACGGCCCACCAAGGCGACGAUCCAUAGCCGGCCUGAGAGGGUGAACGGCCACAUUGGGACUGAGACACGGCCCAGACUCCUACGGGAGGCAGCAGUGGGGAAUAUUGCACAAUGGGGGAAACCCUGAUGCAGCGACGCCGCGUGAAGGAAGAAGUAUCUCGGUAUGUAAACUUCUAUCAGCAGGGAAGAUAGUGACGGUACCUGACUAAGAAGCCCCGGCUAACUACGUG